Molecule: ribosomal RNA, 468 nt
Filed under: uncultured bacterium
Lineage: Bacteria
Description: partial 16S ribosomal RNA
Rfam family: Bacterial small subunit ribosomal RNA
Source: RNAcentral
GACGAACGCUGGCGGCGUGCUUAACACAUGCAAGUCGAACGGAAAGGCCCUGCUUUUGUGGGGUGCUCGAGUGGCGAACGGGUGAGUAACACGAGAGUAACCUGCCCUUGACUUUGGGAUAACUUCACGAAACUGGGGCUAAUAUCGUAUAGGAGCUCCUGCUGCAUGGUGGGGGUUGGAAAGUUUCGGCGGUUGGGGAUGGACUCGCGGCUUAUCAGCUUGUUGGUGGGGUAGUGGCUUACCAAGGCUUUGACGGGUAGCCGGCCUGAGAGGGUGACCGGCCACAUUGGGACUGCGAGACGGCCCAGACUCCUACGGGAGGCAGCAGUGGGGAAUAUUGCACAAUGGGCGCGAGCCGGAUGCAGCGACGCCGCGUGCGGGAUGACGGUCUUCGGGUUGUAAACCGCUUUCGCCUGUGACGAAGCGUGAGUGACGGUAAUGGGUAAAGAAGCACCGGCUAACUACGUG